RNAcentral lists this long non-coding RNA (287 nucleotides) under Elaeis guineensis (African oil palm). Its description in RNAcentral is "long non-coding RNA (EGUI_LNC030615)". Lineage: Eukaryota; Viridiplantae; Streptophyta; Magnoliopsida; Arecales; Arecaceae. The record is from RNAcentral.
AAUCGAAAUAAGCAGCAACAGAUAAAGGAAGGGUAUAACCUUUUCAUCAUACCACCAAAGUGAAUCUCAUUCCUUCUCACCAAUGCCACCACCUCCCGCCAGAUGGAGAACCAAGCUGACAGCUUGGUGCAGCCACCGAUGAUGGAGACUCCACCAAUCCAACCAGCACUAGCGGACCAGUUCAACCUGCUCUUCCAGCAAGUCCAGACUUUGACGGUCACCAUUUAGGCGGUCCAAAUUGUUCUUAUGCCUUCGCUAAUGGUGCUGCAGCCUGAUCAGGCUGCUCC